UACGUAGGUGGCAAGCGUUGUCCGGAAUUAUUGGGCGUAAAGCGCGCGCAGGCGAUCCUUUAAGUCUGAUGUGAAAGCCCACGGCUCAACCGUGGAGGGUCAUUGGAAACUGGGGAACUUGAGUGCAGAAGAGGAAAGUGGAAUUCCAAGUGUAGCGGUGAAAUGCGUAGAGAUUUGGAGGAACACCAGUGGCGAAGGCGACUUUCUGGUCUGUAACUGACACUGAGGCGCGAAAGCGUGGGUAGCAAACAGG
RNAcentral lists this ribosomal RNA (253 nucleotides) under uncultured bacterium. Its description in RNAcentral is "partial 16S ribosomal RNA". It matches the Rfam family "Bacterial small subunit ribosomal RNA", at positions 524 to 776 of the family's 1533-position model. The record is from RNAcentral.